AUAAUUCUUUCUCUUUGAGGUCAUGGGAGAACAUGCUUCGGAAGACAGGUGACCUUGCAGCAAGAACUGCACGAUGCGCUCCAAUGCUUCCAUCUGAAGCAUUGAUUAUGAUGUCCGUGUGAAUGCUCUCAGACAACAUCCGGCCAAGUGAUGACAGAGCAGUUGCAUUCGAUUGUUUCUCGGUUAAUCCUUCAGCCCAGAUUGAGCACAGCUCCCCACUAUUAGGCGUUGCAGUCUUGAGAUCAAGGAAUUCAACGUCGAUGAUGAACUUCCCGGUUAAGGGGAUUUCAAUAGGCCAAACAAAAUCUUCGCUACUCUUGAGUUGCUUGUCUACAACUUCAGGGUGAAUCAAAGUCUGGCGAUCUCCCAACGACGAGAUUAAUCUAAUAAUAAAAGAUGCAACUGGAGGAUUCUCUCUUGUGAAAUUUGAUAUCUCUGGAUAUAAUUUAAUAGACAAU
This 458-nucleotide unclassified non-coding RNA is filed under the name Hevea brasiliensis (rubber tree). The record is from RNAcentral. Lineage: Eukaryota; Viridiplantae; Streptophyta; Magnoliopsida; Malpighiales; Euphorbiaceae.